Small nuclear RNA from Nycticebus coucang (slow loris), 145 nucleotides. RefSeq annotates it as U4 spliceosomal RNA. The transcript has a single exon. The record is from RefSeq and is a predicted model, not a curated record. NCBI's taxonomy places the organism in Eukaryota, Metazoa, Chordata, Mammalia, Primates, Lorisidae.
AGCUUUGCUCAGUGGCAGUAUUGGACCCAAUGAGGUUUAUCUGAGGCGCUACUAUUGCUACUUAAAAUUUUUUCCCAAUACCCCUCCUUGAAAUAUGACUUGAAAUAUGGUCUGCAUUGGCAGUAUUUGACCAUCUCUGCAGAGA